AACGAUAUAUUUUAUUGAGAAUAUUGGGUUUGCGUCUCAGGGGUGGAUGUUUUCCUUUCGUUA
Molecule: transfer RNA, 63 nt
Filed under: Gangesia oligonchis
Lineage: Eukaryota; Metazoa; Platyhelminthes; Cestoda; Proteocephalidea; Proteocephalidae
Description: tRNA-Ala
Source: RNAcentral